Molecule: unclassified non-coding RNA, 429 nt
Filed under: uncultured Ustilaginaceae
Lineage: Eukaryota; Fungi; Basidiomycota; Ustilaginomycetes; Ustilaginales; Ustilaginaceae
Description: partial contains 5.8S ribosomal RNA, internal transcribed spacer 2, and large subunit ribosomal RNA
Rfam family: 5.8S ribosomal RNA (bases 1-103)
Source: RNAcentral
UUGCGAUAAGUAAUGUGAAUUGCAGAAGUGAAUCAUCGAAUCUUUGAACGCACCUUGCGCUCCCGGCAGAUCUAAUCUGGGGAGCAUGCCUGUUUGAGGGCCGCGAAUUGUUUCGAACGACAACUUUUUUCACAAAGAGUUGGCGGAUCGGUAUUGAGGGUUUUGCCAUUCACCGUGGCUCUCUCGAAAUGCAUUAGCGCAUCCAUUUGAUAGGCAAGACGGACGAAAGCUCCUCUUUCGCUCUCUCUUCCCUGCCGGGUUUUGAUAAUAUCAGGACUUCGGAGAGGUUGAGAGAUGGGUACGGAGCUGGACGCAACGGCUUGCUGUUUGGAGUGCUUCUGAAGCCCGCCCAUGUCGAGCUUUUUUGCUCGAAAGGGAUUUACUAAUUCACAUCGGCCUCAGAUGGGUAGGACUACCCGCUGAACUUAA